CCUACGGGCGGCUGCAGUGGGGAAUAUUGGACAAUGGGGGCAACCCUGAUCCAGCCAUGCCGCGUGUGUGAAGAAGGCCCUCGGGUUGUAAAGCACUUUCAGUGAGGAAGAACGCCUGGUGGUUAAUACCCAUCAGGAAAGACAUCACUCACAGAAGAAGCACCGGCUAACUCCGUGCCAGCAGCCGCGGUAAUACGGAGGGUGCGAGCGUUAAUCGGAAUUACUGGGUGUAAAGCGCGCGUAGGUGGCUUGAUAAGCCGGUUGUGAAAGCCCCGGGCUCAACCUGGGAACGGCAUCCGGAACUGUCAAGCUAGAGUGCAGGAGAGGAAGGUAGAAUUCCCGGUGUAGCGGUGAAAUGCGUAGAGAUCGGGAGGAAUACCAGUGGCGAAGGCGGCCUUCUGGACUGACACUGACACUGAGGUGCGAAAGCGUGGGUAGCAAACAGGAUUAGAUACCCCAGUAGUC
Molecule: ribosomal RNA, 465 nt
Filed under: Vreelandella stevensii
Lineage: Bacteria; Pseudomonadati; Pseudomonadota; Gammaproteobacteria; Oceanospirillales; Halomonadaceae
Description: partial 16S ribosomal RNA
Rfam family: Bacterial small subunit ribosomal RNA
Source: RNAcentral